Molecule: long non-coding RNA, 4288 nt
Organism: Rattus norvegicus (Norway rat)
Lineage: Eukaryota; Metazoa; Chordata; Mammalia; Rodentia; Muridae
Source: Ensembl
ACACACACACACACGGGGGGGGAGAGAGAGAGAGAGAGAGAGAGAGAGAGAGAGAGAGAGAGAGAGAGAGAGAGAGAGAGAGAAAGCAAAAAAAGAGGAAGGUGCUUAGAAGAGGCAGGGAUGCCCGGUGAAAAGCAGAGAGUCGGGGAUCCGGCUUAACCCAGGCAUUUGGGAAGGGGGGCUGGAGGUGGAACACGACUCAACGGACCGCAGCCGCUCUGGCUAGGGCGGUAGAGCGCCAGGGUGAGAGGGUGAGGAUGCCCUGCGGGCUUCCGCACUACUCUGACACCAAACAGAAUGGCUAGGCUCCGGUGGUGAAGUAAAAGUUCCCGGUGGCGUGAAGGCGGUGGAUAGCCACCUUGCCCGUGCACGGAGGCUGUCUGGGGAAGCGGCCUCGAGGGCUGGAUGGACUGGGUGGAAGCCCUCGCAGGGGGUCCUACGGCUCUAGCUUUUGUACCGCCCCGCCUAGGCCAGUCCGGAGCUGACGCACCAGCUCCCCAGAGACGCUGGGGGCGUCGCACUGCAGCUGGGUGGGGAGCAAUUUAUUCCUGGCGGUCACAUCCCACCCCAUCUUCUGUUACUCCACCCUACCCUCCCAUCCCUCCACCUCUUCCUCCUCCUUUUCUACCAACGCCCGCACUAUCUUCUGGUUCUUCUCCUCCUCACCCUCCACUCCCCCUCUCUCCCUUCUUUUCUUUUCUCCCUUCCCCUCCCCCUCUUCUGAAUAACCAAGCUGUUUUGCCUCCGAAAGGGGAGAGAGAGAGAGAGAGAGAGAGAGAGAGAGAGAGAGAGAGAGAGAGAGAGAGAGAGAGAGAGAGAGGCCUGCGGUGACUGGAAGACAGGAGGGAAUCUGGAUCUGGUACAUCUGGGAAGUGGAAACUUGAUGCUUCUGGGCGGUGAUUUGCCAAGGCCUCGCCAAAGACGCCUAAAGGAGCCUGUUUGUGUGCUGUGGCCACGUUCUGCUGUGACUGGAUCUUGUCUUCUGCCUGGGUCCUCGAUUUCCGUCCGGCUGAAUUUGGGGACAACACUGCUUGGCGCAGACAGAUCAAAUGAGACUUCAAAGAAGCAUAUCCUGAACAAGCUAUUCAAUCAACCAAAGGCCGGGGCAGCAGUACGCCAGCAAGACGCAUCUUCUCCCCGCCUAGAAGUCCUGAGAAAUCGAGGAUCUCUCCUAAAACAUUCAUAUACAAGAUAUGUGCAAUCAAGCUUCCAGCACUUGGUACAAAGCUCAUGAUGCCUAACCCAGUGAUCCGGAGCAGAUCUUUGAAUCAGCUGUCACUUCUAUAGAAUGGGAUUUUCCCCUUCUUCCUCUUUAACCAGCGUUGGAAACUGCCUAUGGCUUUACACAUCUCAGUAGAGGAAGGCUAAAGAAUCUUACGUGAGAAUGAAGCAAUUUACAAUGCAAAUAGAGGCCUGUGAAGAGCUGGACGCUGCUGCUCUACCCCCAACAGCUUGCUGCACCUUAGUCGCUGGUCUUAUUUUCCGAUACUAAUAGAUGAAUUGUUGGCUAACGAUGCUGGAGAUUACUUGCUGGAAGGGGAAAGAAAAAGUUUGGAAUAAAUUCUGAAUGCAACAGAUCUCAUUUGGAUGUUCUAGACGCAUACACCCAGACAGAAACCAGGUCAUGUUUACAUGAAAGGAGAAUCUUAAACGCGGCGAAUAUCCUUCCCUGAGGACUAUGCUUCCCCCAAACCAACGAGGAUCCGGAUCUGGAGUCCAGCCAGAGGAAGACAGCCUUGUGAGGGAAGCGAGUUGUUAUCUUUGGUUAUCUAGCUGUAUGAGUGUAUUGGUCUUCAUAAAGCUAGAUAACCGAAAGUAAAAACUCCUUCAAGAUCACCGAGGAGUGCUCCGGAAAGAAAGACUACAGUCAAGAGACAGUAAAAACCAGAAAGGUCAGGAAUGCUUAUUGAAUCUAACUUUUUUUUUCUUAUGGUUGAAAGUGGGAUGCAAGGAAACUUAAGUGACACAUAUACUGAAAUCCUAAGGGGCCAGGUUUUGAGGGGGUUGUACAACUGGAGAGGAGAAUUGUGUAGUAUUUUUAUGGGCGAAGAUGCAUGUAUUUUCUAUAUUGUUCUAUUUUGAAGCAAACGUUUACUUAUGGGAUUUUUUUUCUUAGAAAGCUGUUAUAGCGAUGCCUGGUACCUCGUUUUAAAAAAUGAUUUCAUAAUUAUGUAGAUUGGGCAGUUCCCAUCUGAGGCUCCUCCCCCAAGUUUGAAGCUUGUGCCUGGAAACUUUCUAUGUAUUUGGUGUGUACAUCAAAUUCUGUGAAGUUAGACUUUCAGAAAGCUUAUACUGGGAGGUUAAUAAUUUAUCUCUACCGAGGACUUAGAGCUAGAAGGGAAAAGGGGUGGGGGCAAAGGCUGAUUUUUAUUCUUCUAUUCAAAAUACAAGGACAGAUGCUUCUCUGUUCCAAGAGGGUUUCCUUGAGGAAGCUACUGAAGCAGAAAGACAUGAUGGAGACGAGAUCGCCUCCCCUCUUGUCAAAGUGUUAAAAAAAUGUUCUGUCUUACUCUGCGCCUAGCAUUGGAAAUGAAAGUGACAUUUACGCCACAACCCACGUGUGCGCCUCCUCUCUUUUUGUUUAAGGAUGAUCAGGUCUAUCCAGGAAACAGCUCUGGCAUCCCAAACUGAAAUAAUUAGGACGUAUAUAGACCUGACAAAAAUGGAAGGGGGUGGGGAAUCUGAGGGUCUGUCUUGCCUAAUUGAUUCCGCUAAACGGAAAGCAGGAGAUGUGAACGGCAGGACGCUCCGAUUCCCACGCUCGGGGGCAAGUGGUAAAGCCUGGCCGGCAGCCUAUGACAGACAGCCCUGUUGGGGGGUAGGGGGAUGAAAAAAACAUCAAGCGCACACACACCAUACUCAUCUCCAUCCUUAAGAAAGUAAAGGCAUUUCCCACCCACAGCCAUCUGCAGCCUUCCAAAUGGCAACACCAACUGGUUGGUGACUGCUACGCGUACUGUCUCUGUUAUUUUUUUUUAAACCUCUGUUUAAUCUGGCCAUGAUUAAAUUUGGUUUUCUCCUUUGGUUGAAAUUUUCAUUAUUUAAGGAAAGCAAGUGCCAAGACCAUCCCAGGACUGCAUGCCCUCCUCAGAGAAGUCCUCGGUAUGUGGUUAGGGCCUGUGACCACCUUUGGCUUUUGUUUUGGCUGUGUUAUAUUUAAAAGUCACAUCUCAUAGCCCUCCUUACUAUGACUUACUUCAUUGGGUUGUUUACUUCCUUGUGUGACACACAAGGACUUGACCUACUGAUGCUGAUCUACAUUCUGAAAAUAAAGCUGGAAAGGCAUCAGCCUAUAGAAAGUUGGUUGCAACCACAGUAUGUUAAAGAACUUGUUUUAAAAUAGUCCUAGCAGAAUGUGCUUUUUUUCUUUUCUUCCUCCUCCUCCUCCUCCUCUCCCUCCUCCUCCUCCUCCCUCUUCACCUAAAAGUAACUAGUCCCAGCAUAAACUUUGAGGUUUUGAGGAACCAUGGUAGUCCUUUUUUGAAAUUCCUUAUAUUCUGUUACAUUUUAUCAGGCAAACAUUUGUAUAGGCAUUUGCACAUAAAUAUAAGGAUGGCAAUGAAAAAAAAAUCCCCAAACUGCCUGUUAUCUUCCACAUGGCCUAAAUUACUGAGACUCCCAAAUGCAUACUUUUUCUUCAGGGACAGUACAUUUUUCUUUACAGCUUCAACCUCUUACAGGGUUGAGACUAGAGGAACCAGUAAAGCCACUGGUACUCCCAUUUAGAAAAGCCAAGAGACUUUAAUAACGUAAAUUCUCAAUUUGGCUGCUGAACAUGUGCCAAAGUUUUACGGCUGUAGUGACUGUCGAGAAGACCCUUGUUUAUUUACCUUUAAAGCACUGUUUGUGCAAACAAGCCUUCAUUGUUAAGUGCCUGUAUUCCUUUCAUUUGCUUCUUGUCCAGGGGUGCUAUUUACCUAGAACCAUUGUCUACUACAAUUAACAUUUACAUUACAAAGUGUGUGCUUUUCCUUCUCAAGGAGGUUCAAUUAAGGCAAUAAGAUGUUUGCUGGGGAAACCUAUUGUUUACUCAAAGCACUCAAUGGGGUCAAAUUACUGAAGUUUUUGCCUACAUCUUGGGUUGUUUAUGUAAAUAUGUUAACUAUAACAUCUAAGGAAAAUAAACAAUAUUAAAAUUAUGUGUUCGCCAUUGUCAUAUCCAACUUGCUUUGUAUCAUACUAAUGUUACAUAACUUAUCGAUCAAUAAAAAUACAUUUCAAUGUUAUUUUCAUUUUACUUUUUGCUGUUCCACUGCUCCUGCUGCAACAUGUCCCAAAUUUUCUUUUU